GUAGUUUGCCAUGGCAAAGCCGAAGAAUUUUUAAAAAUAUCUAUAUCCACACACACACUUUUUUUAUGGAAUUUUCCUUGGCCCAAGCAAUCUGGUAUAUAUAUAUAUUACACAGUACGUGUUGAGAAAUUUGCAAACUGUGCAGCUAGAUACACUUAAUAAUAUCUUUUGUGUGCACAAGUACAAGUAUGCACGAAACGUGGCCACACAAGAAUCCCAGCCCGGCCUGUAAUACGAGACAGUGCAAAAGGCAAAUCCUCAGACGGGAACUGGCAUUGCCCACUGUCUGAUCAAGUGUCUCUACUCUUUUCUUUCCAAGCAGGAUGUCCUUAUGUAAACAACAGCCCUUGAGUGCGUUCAGCUAUGUAUCUCACGGAUGCAGCUGUGCCACACGGCCCCGGACUGAUGAUCGGUUCGCUCUGCCAGAAUGCGGGCCAUCUAGGCAAACAGAGAGCACAGCCAGAGAGAGAGAGAAAGAGAGUCGAGCCAGUAUUCCCUCGGAACAUAAAUAUACGACAGCAAAAAAUUUAUAGAUAUUUUCCAGUUUUAUGUGCGGUUGAGCACAAGUACUCAAAAGUAUUCGUCUGAGUACACACACAUGAGUGCUGCCUCUGUGUGUGUGUGUGCGUGCGACAUAUCUGGGCCCUACUAUUCAUGACACUAUCAAUCUUACAUCAGAGAGUAAAAAUAAACAUAUACAAUUAAUAAA
Long non-coding RNA from Drosophila novamexicana, 709 nucleotides. RefSeq lists it as uncharacterized. Lineage: Eukaryota; Metazoa; Arthropoda; Insecta; Diptera; Drosophilidae. The transcript is spliced from 2 exons. The record is from RefSeq and is a predicted model, not a curated record.